GCCGUAACUAGCCUCUUCAAAUAGUGAGGCAAAAUAUAUCGGCGAGCGGAGCGAGGCGAAAAAAUUUUGGCAUCAGAGCUUCUGGGGGCCGCUCAAGGCCCCAGAAACUCUGAGAAAACUAACGCAAAAACGUGCAUUCUUAGCGUUUCUCAGACUCUUUCUGACAUUGAAUUGCAAUUUAUUUUUAGCUUUUUUUUCGAC
Molecule: long non-coding RNA, 201 nt
Filed under: Mytilus galloprovincialis (Mediterranean mussel)
Lineage: Eukaryota; Metazoa; Mollusca; Bivalvia; Mytilida; Mytilidae
Source: RNAcentral